GGAGAGAUGGCAGAGUGGUCGAAUGCGCCUGACUCGAAAUCAGGUGUGGGAGUGAUCUCACCGGGGGUUCGAAUCCCUCUCUCUCCGCCA
This 90-nucleotide transfer RNA is filed under the name Mesoterricola sediminis. Its description in RNAcentral is "tRNA-Ser". It matches the Rfam family "tRNA". Rfam says of the family: Transfer RNA (tRNA) molecules are approximately 80 nucleotides in length. Lineage: Bacteria; Pseudomonadati; Acidobacteriota; Holophagae; Holophagales; Holophagaceae. The record is from RNAcentral.